Non-coding RNA from Lentithecium fluviatile CBS 122367, 113 nucleotides. Lineage: Eukaryota; Fungi; Ascomycota; Dothideomycetes; Pleosporales; Lentitheciaceae. The record is from the annotation of a GenBank genome assembly.
GGGCUUGUGGUUUAGUGGUAUAAUUUUCCCUUAGCAUCUUACAGCGAUUUGUGCAGCAAUUACUGUGCGUUUCUAAAUGGGAAAGGUCCUGGGUUCGAUUCCCAGCAAGUCCA